Molecule: small nuclear RNA, 103 nt
Organism: Cervus hanglu yarkandensis (Yarkand deer)
Lineage: Eukaryota; Metazoa; Chordata; Mammalia; Artiodactyla; Cervidae
Source: Ensembl
AUGUUCACUUUGACAGCAUGUUUUUUUUGGAAUAAUGCAAAGAAGAUUAACAUGGCUCCUAUGCAGGGGUGACAGGCAGAUUCAUGAAGCAUUCCAUGUUUUU